CGGCGUGCCUAAUACAUGCAAGUCGAGCGGACAGAAGGGAGCUUGCUCCCGGAUGUUAGCGGCGGACGGGUGAGUAACACGUGGGUAACCUGCCUGAAGACUGGGAUAACUCCGGGAAACCGGAGCUAAUACCGGAUAGUUCCUUGAACCGCAUGGUUCAAGGAUGAAAGACGGUUUCGGCUGUCACUUACAGAUGGACCCGCGGCGCAUUAGCUAGUUGGUGAGGUAACGGCUCACCAAGGCGACGAUGCGUAGCCGACCUGAGAGGGUGAUCGGCCACACUGGGACUGAGACACGGCCCAGACUCCUACGGGAGGCAGCAGUAGGGAAUCUUCCGCAAUGGACGAAAGUCUGACGGAGCAACGCCGCGUGAGUGAUGAAGGUUUUCGGAUCGUAAAGCUCUGUUGUUAGGGAAGAACAAGUGCAAGAGUAACUGCUUGCACCUUGACGGUACCUAACCAGAAAGCCACGGCUAACUACGUGCCAGCAGCC
Molecule: ribosomal RNA, 492 nt
Filed under: marine sediment bacterium ISA-2622
Lineage: Bacteria
Description: bacterial SSU rRNA
Rfam family: Bacterial small subunit ribosomal RNA
Source: RNAcentral